This 457-nucleotide ribosomal RNA is filed under the name Streptococcus sanguinis. RNAcentral's name for it is "bacterial SSU rRNA". It matches the Rfam family "Bacterial small subunit ribosomal RNA", at positions 28 to 470 of the family's 1533-position model. The record is from RNAcentral. Lineage: Bacteria; Bacillati; Bacillota; Bacilli; Lactobacillales; Streptococcaceae.
GACGAACGCUGGCGGCGUGCCUAAUACAUGCAAGUAGAACGCUGAAGAGAGGAGCUUGCUCUUCUUGGAUGAGUUGCGAACGGGUGAGUAACGCGUAGGUAACCUGCCUGGUAGCGGGGGAUAACUAUUGGAAACGAUAGCUAAUACCGCAUAAAAUUGAUUAUUGCAUGAUAAUUAAUUGAAAGAUGCAAUUGCGUCACUACCAGAUGGACCUGCGUUGUAUUAGCUAGUUGGUGAGGUAACGGCUCACCAAGGCGACGAUACAUAGCCGACCUGAGAGGGUGAUCGGCCACACUGGGACUGAGACACGGCCCAGACUCCUACGGGAGGCAGCAGUAGGGAAUCUUCGGCAAUGGGGGGAACCCUGACCGAGCAACGCCGCGUGAGUGAAGAAGGUUUUCGGAUCGUAAAGCUCUGUUGUAAGAGAAGAACGGGUGUGAGAGGGAAAGUUCACACU